RNAcentral lists this ribosomal RNA (301 nucleotides) under uncultured bacterium. RNAcentral describes it as "partial 16S ribosomal RNA". It matches the Rfam family "Bacterial small subunit ribosomal RNA", at positions 509 to 807 of the family's 1533-position model. The record is from RNAcentral.
CAGUCGCCGCGGUAAAACGGAGGGUGCAAGCGUUAAUCGGAAUUACUGGGCGUAAAGCGCACGCAGGCGGUCUGACAAGUCAGAUGUGAAAUCCCCGGGAUUAACCUGGGAACUGCAUUUGAAACUGUCAGGCUGGAGUCUUGUAGAGGGGGGUGGAAUUCCAGGUGUAGCGGUGAAAUGCGUAGAGAUCUGGAGGAAUACCGGUGGCGAAGGCGGCCCCCUGGACAAAGACUGACGCUCAGGUGCGAAAGCGUGGGGAGCAAACAGGAUUAGAUACCCCUGUAGUCCCUGUCUCUUAUAC